Molecule: ribosomal RNA, 195 nt
Filed under: uncultured bacterium
Lineage: Bacteria
Description: partial 16S ribosomal RNA
Rfam family: Bacterial small subunit ribosomal RNA
Source: RNAcentral
CCUACGGGAGGCAGCAGUAGGGAAUCUUCCGCAAUGGGCGAAAGCCUGACGGAGCAACGCCGCGUGAGUGAUGAAGGUCUUCGGAUCGUAAAACUCUGUUGUUAGGGAAGAACAAAUUUGUUAGUAACUGAACAAGUCUUGACGGUACCUAACCAGAAAGCCACGGCUAACUACGUGCCAGCAGCCGCGGUAAUA